GCACCCCAUGGAGCAGCUGCUGCGCGCCGAACUGCGCACCGCGACCCUGCGGGCCUUCGGCGGCCCCGGCGCCGGCUGCAUCAGCGAGGGCCGAGCCUACGACACGGACGCAGGCCCCGUGUUCGUCAAAGUCAACCGCAGGACGCAGGCCCGGCAGAUGUUUGAGGGGGAGGUGGCCAGCCUGGAGGCCCUCCGGAGCACGGGCCUGGUGCGGGUGCCGAGGCCCAUGAAGGUCAUCGACCUGCCGGGAGGUGGGGCCGCCUUUGUGAUGGAGCAUUUGAAGAUGAGGAGCUUGAGCAGUCAAGCAUCAACACUUGGAGAGCAGAUGGCAGAUUUGCAUCUUUACAACCAGAAGCUCAGGGAGAAGUUGAAGGAGGAGGAGAACACAGUGGGUAUGUUCAGAUUGCUUUUGGGUACCCUUGACCCAGCCACAUUGUCUACCCUAGAUUGGUGCUCAUGGUACUUCUUGGUGGCAUUUCAAUAGUAGGUUGAGUUGUAUACCGUCUCUCUUUACACUACAUUAUGAAAAUGAGAUUAUUAAAUAAGAAUUUUGAUGUAGCUGAUAAGCUAGUAGAAUUGGCACAUGAUCCCCUU
RNAcentral lists this small RNA (594 nucleotides) under Pongo abelii (Sumatran orangutan). RNAcentral's name for it is "retained intron". Lineage: Eukaryota; Metazoa; Chordata; Mammalia; Primates; Hominidae. The record is from RNAcentral.